AGACAACCAAUAUACACAACAUGCAAGCUUAUGUGCAAGCAUUCAAAUUGUUUCAUCAUCUCAAAUGACCUACAAACAGCAAGGGUUAGUGGACAAAUUAAAUAGCAACACUCAAAUGAUGAGGCAAUAUCAACCAUGGAGAUUGGAUGCUUGGUCCUGAAAUACACAGCUCAAAUGUGAGUUCAAACCCCUAGGGCAAAG
RNAcentral lists this long non-coding RNA (201 nucleotides) under Lathyrus oleraceus (garden pea). RNAcentral's name for it is "Pisum sativum (pea) long non-coding RNA (PSAT_LNC021999)". Lineage: Eukaryota; Viridiplantae; Streptophyta; Magnoliopsida; Fabales; Fabaceae. The record is from RNAcentral.